UGCAAGUCGUACGAGAACACCCUAGCUUGCUAGGGUAAGUAAAGUGGCGCACGGGUGAGUAACGCGUGGGUAAUCUACCUUCGAAUUGUGGAUAACGUUGCGAAAGCGACGCUAAUACCGAAUAACAUCCAUUAAUCUUCGGGUUUUUGGAUCAAGGGUGGCCUCUACAUGUAAGCUACUGUUUGAAGAUGAGCCCGCGUACCAUUAGCUUGUUGGUGGGGUAAUGGCCUACCAAGGCAGCGAUGGUUAGCUGGUCUGAGAGGAUGAUCAGCCACACUGGAACUGACACACGGUCCAGACUCCUACGGGAGGCAGCAGUGAGGAAUUUUGCGCAAUGGGGGAAACCCUGACGCAGCAACGCCGCGUGAGUGAUGAAGGCUUUCGGGUCGUAAAGCUCUGUCAAGUGGGAAGAACCUGCAGUAUGCUAACAUCAUAUUGCACUGACGGUACCACUGAAGGAAGCACCGGCUAACUCCGUG
RNAcentral lists this ribosomal RNA (479 nucleotides) under uncultured bacterium. RNAcentral describes it as "bacterial SSU rRNA". It matches the Rfam family "Bacterial small subunit ribosomal RNA", at positions 56 to 507 of the family's 1533-position model. The record is from RNAcentral.